GUUUCUUUAAAAUGGAAUCUUCAAAUGCUUGGUAACCAGCUCCUACCAAAUUAUUCAAUCGAUUAUGUUCUGGUGAUCUCUCAGCACUGGGCAUCUCUACUGAAGAAACCGGUUGAAGAGGCAAAACUAGCAAAGGGUUAGAUAGAUCACCAAGCACAGAUCUAGUAGAGGAAACUGCAGCAUCUUUACUUGACAUUACAAUGACUGCUGAACCUUUCUUCUUCUUGUUAUGUCUAAUGACAACAUCUUCAACCUCACCAAACUUUGAAAACAUCUCUCUUAAUUUCUCUGCUGUGUAAUCCUCACCA
RNAcentral lists this unclassified non-coding RNA (308 nucleotides) under Hevea brasiliensis (rubber tree). The record is from RNAcentral. Lineage: Eukaryota; Viridiplantae; Streptophyta; Magnoliopsida; Malpighiales; Euphorbiaceae.